This 86-nucleotide microRNA precursor is filed under the name Brachypodium distachyon (stiff brome). Its description in RNAcentral is "MIR7729 microRNA precursor family". It matches the Rfam family "MIR7729 microRNA precursor family". Lineage: Eukaryota; Viridiplantae; Streptophyta; Magnoliopsida; Poales; Poaceae. The record is from Rfam by way of RNAcentral.
CUUGAUCUACUGUUUUCGUAGACCAUGUAGAACUAAUUUCGUGUUGCUAAGUUGGGGCAAUGGUGGUGGUUCGGAGGAGUUUGGAG